CGCCUGGCUGUAGGAGGGGUGCUGGUGCCCUGGGGGAGGUUCACACUUUUCAGAGGGGUGUGAAGGCCUUAGCAAUCCCUUAGCUAACACAACUACCUCAUUAGCUACAUAGAGAGAGGGCCAGCUCCACAGCCUAAGCACUGGGAGGGCCAACUCCAUGGAGACUGUUAGAGGAACUCAACCGCAGUCCACUUCUCCCAGUACCUGCCACUGAAAAACAUCCCCACAGCAUGAUGCUGCCACCACCAUGCUUCGCCCUAGGGAUGCUGUCGGGUUUCCUCCAGAUGUGACACUUGGCAUUCAGGCCAAAGAGCUAGCUAGCAACAGCAGCAGACAAACAAACCAGUUGCUAUGGCAACUGUGCAGCAGAACAGAGCAGCAGCUGUAGUAGCAGAGCCCACAGGCACCAUGUCCCCACUCCCACUCAGCACUGAAUCCAUUCCCUACCCUCCAGAGGCCAAAAAUGACACGAGGAAAGCUUUUAAACAGAAACUACUAAAGUGGAGGACACGCCCCAGGAGGAGAGCGACCCCCUCAGUGCAGAGCAGGCUCAGGCCCUCCUCACCACCAUGGCUGCCAUGAGGGAUGAGUUCACCAGACUGGAGGGGGAGGUGGUCCUGCUCAGGGAGCAAACAUCAAC
This 640-nucleotide long non-coding RNA is filed under the name Salmo salar (Atlantic salmon). RNAcentral's name for it is "lncRNA (ENSSSAG00000084334.1)". Lineage: Eukaryota; Metazoa; Chordata; Actinopteri; Salmoniformes; Salmonidae. The record is from RNAcentral.